This 67-nucleotide transfer RNA is filed under the name Lingula anatina. RNAcentral describes it as "tRNA-Asp". Lineage: Eukaryota; Metazoa; Brachiopoda; Lingulata; Lingulida; Lingulidae. The record is from RNAcentral.
GGAGGGUUGGUGAAAAUAUCAUACCUGUCUGUCAAAUGGGUGUUACUGAAAAUAUCGGUACCCUCCU